GAUGAACGCUAGCGGGAGGCCUAACACAUGCAAGCCGAGCGGUAGAGUCUCUUCGGAGACUUGAGAGCGGCGCACGGGUGCGGAACACGUGUGCAACCUGUCUUUAUCUGGGGGAUAGCCUUUCGAAGGGAAGAUUAAUACCCCAUAAUAUACUGGAUGGCAUCAUCUGGUAUUGAAAACUCCGGUGGAUAGAGAUGGGCACGCGCAAGAUUAGAUAGUUGGUGAGGUAACGGCUCACCAAGUCAGCGAUCUUUAGGGGGCCUGAGAGGGUGAUCCCCCACACUGGUACUGGGACACGGACCAGACUCCUACGGGAGGCAGCAGUGAGGAAUAUUGGACAAUGGGUGAGAGCCUGAUCCAGCCAUCCCGCGUGAAGGACGACGGCCCUAUGGGUUGUAAACUUCUUUUGUAUAGGGAUAAACCUAGAUACGUGUAUCUAGCUGAAGGUACUAUACGAAUAAGCACCGGCUAACUCCGUG
RNAcentral lists this ribosomal RNA (479 nucleotides) under uncultured bacterium. RNAcentral describes it as "partial 16S ribosomal RNA". It matches the Rfam family "Bacterial small subunit ribosomal RNA", at positions 28 to 507 of the family's 1533-position model. The record is from RNAcentral.